This is a long non-coding RNA of Magnolia sinica, 658 nucleotides long. RefSeq lists it as uncharacterized. The record is from RefSeq and is a predicted model, not a curated record. The transcript is spliced from 3 exons. Lineage: Eukaryota; Viridiplantae; Streptophyta; Magnoliopsida; Magnoliales; Magnoliaceae.
CUGUCUGUCUCUCUCUCUCUCUGCUUCUUCUUAUAGCUCUCUCUAUCUCUGCAGAGAUGAUAACAUCUCUUCUUAUUCAUUCAUCUUCUUCAUCACUUCUUCUAGAAGCUUCCCAAAUCUCUUGAUCGAGAGCUACUUCUACGAUCUGCAAUGCCAAGAGAAGUAACGUCUAUAUUCCAAAUCUCGAGCCUUCCAGCAGGAGCAAGAGCAUCAAGGAGUCAAAGAGCCUUCCUCCAGAAAUUAGAGAAUGAUCUUGCUAUUAUGAUUUCCUUUUCCAGAUUUCUUUUGUAAUUUUUUAAACAUUUUUUUAAACUUAAAUCGCCGAAGAUCUGCCAUUCACACAGGUUCGAUCUCUUGAAAUCAAAGGAAUCCGAGGCUCCUCUCCAAAAGUUCGAUCUCUUUCUCUCUCUAUCUCUCUAUGUCGAUCUUUUUCUCCAAGGGCCUUGUUUUCUCUGUUCUUCGCUGAGAUUUGGGUUUUCUCUGAAAUGAUUCAAGUCCUGGUGCCCCCCGUAACAGGGUUGGGCAAAUUUCACACAGUGUGGUUUUGGGAACUUUCAAUAUUGGGGACCAAGGUGAAGGCAUUGUACCUGACCUUACGCUGAUUAUUGGAGCAGUUCUGAAUUAUGUUGGAGUUGGAAAUGUGGCUACUAGUGGCGGC